AGUGGCGAACGGGUGAGUAACAUAUCGGAACGUAUCCAAUAAUGGGGGAUAACUAAUCGAAAGGUUGGCUAAUACCGCAUACGCCCUACGGGGGAAAGCUAGGGACCUUCGGGCCUGGCGUUAAUGGAGCGGCCGAUAUCUGAUUAGCUAGUUGGUGGGGUAAAGGCCCACCAAGGCGACGAUCAGUAGCUGGUCUGAGAGGACGACCAGCCACACUGGAACUGAGACACGGUCCAGACUCCUACGGGAGGCAGCAGUGGGGAAUUUUGGACAAUGGGCGCAAGCCUGAUCCAGCCAUUCCGCGUGAGUGAAGAAGGCCUUCGGGUUGUAAAGCUCUUUCGCAAGGGAAGAAAACUUAGGCUCUAACAUAGCCUGAGGUUGACGGUACCUUGAUAAGAAGCACCGGCUAACUACGUGCCAGCAGCCGCGGUAAUACGUAGGGUGCGAGCGUUAAUCGGAAUUACUGGGCGUAAAGCGUGCGCAGGCGGUUUUGUAAGUCAGAUGUGAAAUCCCCGAGCUCAACUUGGGAACUGCGUUUGAAACUACAAGACUAGAAUAUGUCAGAGGGGGGUAGAAUUCCACGUGUAGCAGUGAAAUGCGUAGAGAU
Molecule: ribosomal RNA, 607 nt
Filed under: uncultured bacterium
Lineage: Bacteria
Description: bacterial SSU rRNA
Rfam family: Bacterial small subunit ribosomal RNA
Source: RNAcentral